ACGAGCUCUCCAAACGUUAUUCGGUAUUACUGGGCUUAAAGAGUUCGUAGGCGGCUCUGUAGGUGAGAUGUGAAAGCCCUCGGCUUAACCGAGGAACUGCGUUUCAAACCACAGGGCUUGAGGGAGAUAGGGGUAAGCGGAACAGAUGGUGGAGCGGUGAAAUGCAUUGAUAUCAUCUGGAACACCGGUGGCGAAGGCGGCUUACUGGGUCUUUUCUGACGCUGAGGAACGAAAGCUAGGGUAGCGAACGGGAUUAGAUACCCCGGUAGUCCUAGCCGUAAACGAUGAGCACUAGUCUGAGGGACUCUCACAGUUUCUCGGACGUAGCGAAAGUGUUAAGUGCUCCGCCUGGGGAGUAUGGUCGCAAGGCUG
Molecule: ribosomal RNA, 372 nt
Filed under: uncultured bacterium
Lineage: Bacteria
Description: bacterial SSU rRNA
Rfam family: Bacterial small subunit ribosomal RNA
Source: RNAcentral